Molecule: RNA transcript, 2486 nt
Organism: Empidonax traillii (willow flycatcher)
Lineage: Eukaryota; Metazoa; Chordata; Aves; Passeriformes; Tyrannidae
Gene name: splicing factor 3B subunit 1-like
Exons: 7
Source: RefSeq, a predicted model, not a curated record
UCCGGGGCGCGCGGCGGAAGCGGCGGGGCCGCGGCAGUUCCGCCUCGGCGUCGGUGGCGCUGCACGAAAUGGCGAAGAUCGCCAAGACCCACGAAGAUAUUGAAGCACAAAUUCGAGAAAUUCAAGGAAAAAAGCCUGCUCUUGAUGAAGCACAAGGAGUAGGCCUUGAUUCCACAGGAUAUUAUGAUCAAGAAAUUUAUGGUGGCAGUGACAGCAGGUUUGCUGGAUAUGUCACUUCUAUUGCAGCAACUGAAUUGGAAGAUGAUGAUGAUGACUACCCUUCCACCAGUUUGCUCGGGCAGAAGAAGCCAGGGUACCACGCUCCAGUGGCAUUGCUCAAUGACAUCCCACAGUCCACUGAACAGUAUGAUCCUUUUGCAGAACACCGUCCUCAAAAGAUUGCAGAUCGGGAAGAUGAGUACAAAAAGCACAGGCGGAUGAUGAUAAUUUCCCCUGAGCGUCUUGAUCCUUUUGCAGAUGGUAGAAGGACAAGAAAAUUGUCAAUGAGCCAUUGCCAUAGAAACACAAAGGGUUAAAGGUUUCUCUUUUCUUUUGUUUUGGGUUGUGCGUUGUACUAUGAACAACUUGUGUAUUGAGUGCUCAGAUUCAUUCAGUACCUUGAAAGUUUUCAUUCCGAGUCAUAGAUUUUACAGGGUUACUGCUUUUGAAAUGCUCAAAUAGAGCACCUAAUUCUUACCAUCCUAAGUAAACCUUAGGUGGUGUAGCUAAAAGAAACAAAAGCAUAUAUAAGACUUUGAUACUACUAAUAGUUCAAGUCUGUUCUGAUAAUUUGAGAAUGCAAGUCAGGAAAAGGGGUGUUAGUGGGUCUGACAGAAAUUUUCUUCAGGUGAGUGAGUUUCACAUGUGGCAAUAAGAUGCCUGUUGGCUUAAAAUUAGUAGCUAUUUUGCAGGUUUUACAAUUGAGAAUUUCAGCCUGCAUGAAUUAAUAGGGAUAUUAAUUAUUUUACUUGCUUAAUUGUAAUUGAUAUAAACAUGUAUUGUCAGAAUUCACAGGCCCAUACUAACUGUCCUUAAUUUCUUUCCUACAGCAGUACUGCUAUAUGCCAGUCCUGUCUGCAUUCUUAAGGGUGCAGUUCAACACAUCCUGUGUAGAUUAUGGUGAAAAAGUAUUCCAAAGGAAAGUCCUAUCAAAGCUAGUGUCAGAAAGACACAGCCAAUUGGGCAGGGAUCUUCAGCAUAGAAACGUUUAAGAAGUUUAUUUUUUUCCCUAAAGUAUAAUGCUAUACCACUUGUAUAGCAAAUCCGCACAUUUUUCUUUAAGAAAAGUGUUUGUCUUGACAAGUCUCAUUGCUAUAAAGUUGGGCUUCUUUUAAAGUAUUUAAAAAUUUAAUUAAUGCAAGAUACACAGCAUAAAACAACAUAUGGUGUACAAAACCCAUUUCCUGUGAGUAUUGUUGUGGUGGUGUAUGUACUGUAUUGCAUUCAGCUCCCAAUCACAAUUGUACCUUGAGAAGAGAAGAGGGGGAAAGUGUCAUCAAAUGGUUUUGUGGGGUUUUUUGUUUUGUUUUAUUUUUAUUUUUUAAUGAAGCCCUGUUACAAUAUGACACUAGAAGGUCUGUGAGACAUGUCCAGAUUUGUCAAACUUACAAAUGGGUCUUUAUGAUAAAACAGUUUAAACGUUACUUAGGUAUGCAAUAGUUAUUUAUAGUCAGAUAACAAGUAGGAUUUAACAGCUUACACAAGGUAAUGUUUUGAUAUUAAAUAUCUUUCCAAAGUGUUACUAAUGGUAAAGAGAUAAUUUUCUAGGCUUCUAUUCUGCUGCUUGAAGUCAGAACUGCUGAUGGAGACAAAGGCACGAAAGUGUACGUAUUCCGGAUUAGCAACCCAGGAACCCAUCACUUCUGAAGACUCUUAACUGUGUUGUCAUUUUAUCAUUUUUAUCAGCUUUAAAAUAUUUGUUUGAAACUGCAGUAGUUAUGUUUGUGUUCAAACAGGUUAAAUUGAUCAGCAAACUGAAUAAACGUAAGAUACAUGUAAUUUUUAAAAUUUUCGAUCAAAAAGUAAAAUUAAAUGAUCAUGGAAUAAUAUAAUACUAGAGCAGGACAGUAGAAGUCAAUAGGUUCUGCUUAUCCUAUACUCAUUGUGCUCCAUUCCUGUUGCUGUUCUCUUCCACAGGAGGGAAGACUCCAGAUCCUAAAAUGAAUGCCAGAACAUACAUGGAUGUUAUGCGUGAACAGCAUUUAACGAAAGAAGAGAGGGAAAUUAGGCAACAACUAGCUGAAAAAGCUAAAGCUGGAGAGCUUAAAGUCGUCAAUGGAGCCGCAUCUCAGCCACCUUCAAAACGCAAACGGCGUUGGGAUCAGACAGCUGAUCAGACCCCUGGUGCUACACCUAAAAAAUUAUCCAGUUGGGAUCAAGCAGAGACUCCAGGACAUACCCCAUCUCUGCGAUGGGAUGAGACUCCAGGCCGUGCAAAGGGUAGCGAAACUCCUGGUGCCACCCCAGGCUCGAAAAUAUGGGAUCCA